UACGUAUGGUGCAAGCGUUAUCCGGAUUUACUGGGCGUAAAGGGAGCGCAGGCGGUGCGCCAAGUCUGAUGUGAAACCCCGGGGCUCAACCCCGGGCAUGCAUUGGAAACUGGCGGGCUGGAGUGCCGGAGAGGUAAGCGGAAUUCCUAGUGUAGCGGUGAGAUGCGUAGAUAUUAGGAGGAACACCAGUGGCGAAGGCGGCUUACUGGACGGCAACUGACGCUGAGGCUCGAAAGCGUGGGGAGCAAACAGG
Molecule: ribosomal RNA, 253 nt
Filed under: uncultured bacterium
Lineage: Bacteria
Description: partial 16S ribosomal RNA
Rfam family: Bacterial small subunit ribosomal RNA
Source: RNAcentral